Molecule: ribosomal RNA, 492 nt
Filed under: uncultured bacterium
Lineage: Bacteria
Description: partial 16S ribosomal RNA
Rfam family: Bacterial small subunit ribosomal RNA
Source: RNAcentral
AGUGAACGCUGGCGGUAUGCCUAACACAUGCAAGUCGAACGGCAGCACAGUAAGAGCUUGCUCUUACGGGUGGCGAGUGGCGGACGGGUGAGGAAUACAUCGGAAUCUACUUUUUCGUGGGGGAUAACGUAGGGAAACUUACGCUAAUACCGCAUACUACCUACGGGUGAAAGCAGGAGAUCUUCGGACCUUGCGCGACUGAAUGAGCCGAUGUCGGAUUAGCUAGUUGGCGGGGUAAAGGCCCACCAAGGCGACGAUCCGUAGCUGGUCUGAGAGGAUGAUCAGCCACACUGGAACUGAGACACGGUCCAGACUCCUACGGGAGGCAGCAGUGGGGAAUAUUGGACAAUGGGCGCAAGCCUGAUCCAGCCAUACCGCGUGGGUGAAGAAGGCCUUCGGGUUGUAAAGCCCUUUUGUUGGGAAAGAAAAGCAGCAGGUUAAUACCCCGCUGUUCUGACGGUACCCAAAGAAUAAGCACCGGCUAACUUCGUG